GAUGAAGAACGCAGCGAAAUGCGAUAAGUAAUGUGAAUUGCAGAAUUCAGUGAAUCAUCGAGUCUUUGAACGCACAUUGCGCCCCCUGGUAUUCCGGGGGGCAUGCCUGUCCGAGCGUCAUUGCUGCCCUCAAGCACGGCUUGUGUGUUGGGCCCCCGUCCCCGGUUUCCCCCGGGGACGGGCCCGAAAGGCAGCGGCGGCACCGCGUCCGGUCCUCGAGCGUAUGGGGCUUUGUCACCCGCUCUGUAGGCCCGGCCGGCGCCAGCCGACACCCAACUUUAUUUCUAAGGUUGACCUCGGAUCAGGUAGGGAUACCCGCUGAACUUAAGCAUAUCAAUACGCGGAGGA
RNAcentral lists this unclassified non-coding RNA (348 nucleotides) under soil metagenome. RNAcentral's name for it is "partial contains 5.8S ribosomal RNA, internal transcribed spacer 2, and large subunit ribosomal RNA". The stretch from base 1 to 120 matches the Rfam family "5.8S ribosomal RNA", at positions 35 to 154 of the family's 154-position model. The record is from RNAcentral.